RNAcentral lists this long non-coding RNA (1313 nucleotides) under Citrus x clementina. RNAcentral's name for it is "Citrus clementina (C. clementina) long non-coding RNA (CCLE_LNC000060)". Lineage: Eukaryota; Viridiplantae; Streptophyta; Magnoliopsida; Sapindales; Rutaceae. The record is from RNAcentral.
AAUUAGUAAUAAUAAUAAUCUUGUCUAAAUUUUGCACAGUAUACCGACUCCCUAGUAAUAUAAUUAUUGUUUGCCACGAUAAACACUUUACACUAUAUUUAUUAACUAAAAACUCUCAUAUAAUAUUAGUGGUUUGUCUUGACUCAGUAUUGACAGAAAAUGCAUCUAAGUUAUUUAGUGGACGGUCUCACCACAUUGUCGAUAGUAGGAAUAUUAUCACUAGGCACAACGUAUACUUGGCACCACUUUUAACAAAAGAUUAUUUCCCCUGACACAAUGAGUGCUUGAUAUCAUAUUUACCAAAAUGAGGACUAUGAGGAGUAGAAAGCUACUCCUUCUCUACUUUUUAAAAUCUCUUAUUGGAUAGAGUGAUUUACCAAAAAUGAUUUAUAAAAAAAGUUACCAACUACUAAAAUUAACUUUUAUCUUUUUAAAAUCACUUUUAAUCCUCUGAAAAGUAAUUAGUCAGACCUUCUUCUACGUAAUUGAAAAAAAAAAAAUCUUCUCCCAUAUAUAUAAUACACAAGAGAUAUUGAAUAAUUGAAUUUCUAUCCACAAUUAUAAAAACAAAAUGAUUUUCCACCCUAUUUAUGAGGGUUCCCAAAAUGAAAUGUUCUUGUCUCGUUAAUUAGAUAAGUAGAAAAUAUAAGUAAUAGUAAUUAACAAUGCAUUUGAUGUUGAUUGGGUAAUGGCUAGUCUUAAAAAGAGGGCGGUAAAAUUUAAUUUAGUCCUCCGCUUGCCAUUACUUCGAGGCUUUUCACUUUCUAGAGAGGGCCUUAAUCACAUUAACCUUACAAGAAAAAAUUAAUUGUUUUUGGGACAGGCAUGCACCUAGCUAGCUACCUAUGUACUGAAUAUUGAAUUACCACUAGUCGGGUCCGAAUCUAUUCUAGAUUUUGUGAUAGAAAUUUACCAUAAUUUCUUUUAUUGCAAUAAAAUAUGAGUUUUGAUGUCAAGACGUGUAUUUUUUUAAAAGCUAAAUGUAUAUUAAAAAAACAAUAAAAGCAUGUUUAAUAACCCAAUAACUCGGUCGUGGAUCCCUUUUAUGUGUAAGGUUUCAAAUUCCCUGUUUUAUAUAUUAAUUAGGGUCGAUUUUUAUUAACCCAAUAACCCCUCGUUUUAUUGACAUUUUUGGGUGAUAGAAUUAAAUACCAUAAUGAAUUAGAGUGUUACAUACACGUGUAAGUUCUAAAGAAUUAAAGCUUUUAAUUUAUUCGGCUAAAUGAUCCGUUUUCGAAAUUCAUGUUGUCAACUAAUGUUUCGUUUCGUUAAUAGUCCAGGCUCGUUCAUUGAUAUAUAUAAUACUGGCCUCA